UUCACUCACUCUCUCUCGCCCUUCCCUGAAGAAAAAUUUCUCUUCCUCGAAGCCCUAUCCCUCUCCUCCUACUUUCCUUUCUGUUCAGCACCCAACCUCCGAACCGAAUCGUCCUCUUCUUCCUUCUCCGCCUCAGACCAGAACCCGACCCUUCUCCGGCUCUUCCCCCAAACCCUAUCCCUCUCUCUCCCCCGUCCUAAUCGAACCAAAACCUUAAAGCCCCAGAAAACGAAUUCGCAGAGAUCUCUUUGUGGCUCAUCUCUGAGGUGCAACCUGGCGUUGACUCAUCAGAUGAAGGCGAAGAAUAUGGUGGCCACGGUGAGCCCACCCCGGUGGUCGGAGAUCGGUGACGGAGGAGAGAGUCCUCCAGAUCCACUUUCUCUCUCCUCCCUCUCUCUUUCAGAAAAAGAUUGAAAGGAUUGAUUUUGAAUCAAAGAAUUUAGGAAUGGCUUCGAGAGUCGUUGAUCAACAACGAGCCAGAGAAGUGUCAGACAAAGUGGCCAGCAAGGGAUUUUCAGUAGUAAGUUAUUUGCCUGAUAUUCAUCUUUACGGAAAUUUUGUACUAUCUUUAUCUAAGAAUGGGGGAAGGAAAAAAUAGGAUGGAAUACUUAGAGGUUAGAACUCAGUGGCGUGUAAUCUUAGUCACAAUUGAUCAAAAUGUGAAUUGGUUAAUGCACAGAACGUUUAAGGGGGUUUCUCAGCAUGGUCACAAAGGAAGACAAGGAGAUACUCGAGAAGCAGAUGCAUGGCAUGGCUGUAGUGAUUGAGAAAUUGGAAAGCAGUAGACAAAAAGCUUUUAAUGGAGAUUGAUUCCCAAUCUUUGGAGAUUGAAAGGCUAUUUGAGGAAAACUCUAAUUUAUCUAGUUCUCUUCAGGAGGCUAUGAGUAUAGCUCUGCACUGGGAGAAUCAGGUGAAAGACUAUCUUAAGCAAAAUGAAGCGCUCCGAGGAAUCUUAGAUUAGAUAAGUUAAGAAUUGACCAGGCCAAUGGGUUGCUCGACUCCCAUCAUAAUUUCUCUAACAAAACUGGUUUAGCUGAAUAUACACCUGAAGUUCUCUCUAUCAAGGUUAGUAUGUUGGUUUAGUGUCACAUUUGAUCAUCAAUGGAGUUCUCUUGAACUUUCUAUUCUAUAUGGAUGUUGGGUUGUUAAGAGGUAUAGAAACAGCAAGUGCAGUAUAACGACUUGUAGAAUAAUCAUAAGAAGUUAUCUAGGAAAAUGAUAAUCCAAUUAGUUUUUCACUUUGUUAUUUCUUAGGCUGAUAUUGCUGAUAAGGUGUAGCAUCGGGGUUGCAUUUUCUUUGUAGGAUCAACUUGCAAAAGAACAGAGCAAAGCAGAGGCAUUAUCAGCUGUUGUAUAUGAAGAAGUUUAGAAGACUUCAAUCUUGUUCUUUUCUUUUGUUGUUGUAUAUGGAGAAGUUUAGGCCAUACGUCCCCUUCUCCCUACUCUUUGUACUCUUUUUAUCAAUAGUAUUAAUGAGAAUUUUCUUUUGCUUA
Rosa rugosa (rugosa rose) is the source of this 1493-nucleotide long non-coding RNA. RefSeq lists it as uncharacterized. The record is from RefSeq and is a predicted model, not a curated record. The transcript is spliced from 6 exons. Lineage: Eukaryota; Viridiplantae; Streptophyta; Magnoliopsida; Rosales; Rosaceae.